RNAcentral lists this unclassified non-coding RNA (222 nucleotides) under uncultured Lysobacteraceae bacterium. RNAcentral's name for it is "uncultured Xanthomonadaceae bacterium contains 16S-23S intergenic spacer region". It matches the Rfam family "Bacterial small subunit ribosomal RNA", at positions 976 to 1195 of the family's 1533-position model. The record is from RNAcentral. Lineage: Bacteria; Pseudomonadati; Pseudomonadota; Gammaproteobacteria; Lysobacterales; Lysobacteraceae.
UGGCCUUGACAUGUCUGGAACCCUUGAGAGAUCGAGGGGUGCCUUCGGGAACCAGAACACAGGUGCUGCAUGGCUGUCGUCAGCUCGUGUCGUGAGAUGUUGGGUUAAGUCCCGCAACGAGCGCAACCCUUGUCCUUAGUUGCCAGCACGUAAUGGUGGGAACUCUAAGGAGACCGCCGGUGACAAACCGGAGGAAGGUGGGGAUGACGUGUAACCGAAUCU